This 65-nucleotide transfer RNA is filed under the name Parapenaeopsis hungerfordi. RNAcentral's name for it is "tRNA-Leu". The record is from RNAcentral. Lineage: Eukaryota; Metazoa; Arthropoda; Malacostraca; Decapoda; Penaeidae.
UCUAAAAUGGCAGAUAGAUGCAUAGGAUUUAAGCUCCUACUAGGAAGACAAGUCUUCUUUUAGAA